UGUGGAUCAAUGAUGUUACUUAAAUCUGCGUUAUCUUUCUGCAACUUCUCUCGACCUCGAGGGAUUUGAAGAUAAUUUCAAGUUACUGAGAUCUUAU
Molecule: small nucleolar RNA, 97 nt
Organism: Malus domestica (apple)
Lineage: Eukaryota; Viridiplantae; Streptophyta; Magnoliopsida; Rosales; Rosaceae
Product: small nucleolar RNA snoR27
Source: RefSeq, a predicted model, not a curated record